This 543-nucleotide ribosomal RNA is filed under the name uncultured crenarchaeote. RNAcentral's name for it is "partial 16S ribosomal RNA". It matches the Rfam family "Archaeal small subunit ribosomal RNA", at positions 315 to 859 of the family's 1478-position model. The record is from RNAcentral. Lineage: Archaea; Thermoproteati; Thermoproteota.
GCCCAGCCCUUCGCGGGCGCAGCAGUCGCGAAACCUUUGCAUACRCGCAAGYGUGACAGGGUUAUCCCGAGUGCCUUCCGCUGAGGAAGGCUUUUMCCCACUCUAGAAAGCUGGGGGAAUAAGGAGAGGGCAAGUCUGGUGUCAGCCGCCGCGGUAAUACCAGCUCYYCCAGUGGUGYGGAUGWUUAUUGGGCCUAAAGCAUCCGUAGCUGGUUGUAUUAGUCCUCUGUUAAAUCCACCCACUUAAUCGUUGGGYYGCCGGGGAUACUGCUYAACUAGGRARCGGGAGAGGCUAGACGGUAUUCUCGGGGUAGGGGUGAAAUCCUAUAAUCCCUUGAAGACCACCAGUGGCGAAGGCUGUCUGCUAGAACGCGCUCGACGGUGAGGGAUGAAAGCUGGGGGARCSAACCGGAUUARAUACCCGGGUAGUCCCAGCUGUAAACCAUGCAGGCUAGGUGUUUGGGCGSCCACGUGCCGUUCCAGUGCCGCAGGGAARCUGUUAAGUCUGCCGCCUGGGGAGUACGAUCGCMAGAUUGAAACUUAA